ACCAGACUCCUACGGGAGGCAGCAGUGGGGGAUAUUGCACAAUGGGGGGAACCCUGAUGCAGCGACGCCGCGUGGGUGAAGGAGCGUUUCGGCGCGUAAAGCCCUAUCGGCAGGGAAGAAGAUGACGGUACCUGACCAAGAAGCCCCGGCUAACUACGUGCCAGCAGCCGCGGUAAUACGUAGGGGGCAAGCGUUAUCCGGAUUUACUGGGUGUAAAGGGAGCGUAGGCGGCCUGCCAAGUCUGAUGUGAAAUGCCGGGGCUCAACCCCGGGGCUGCAUUGGAAACUGGCAGGCUGGAGUGUCGGAGAGGCAGGCGGAAUUCCUAGGGUAGCGGUGAAAUGCGUAGAUAUUAGGAGGAACACCAGUGGGGAAGGCGGCCUGCUGGACGAUGACUGACGCUGAGGCUCGAAAGCGUGGGGAGCAAACAGGAUUAGAUACCCGCGUAA
RNAcentral lists this ribosomal RNA (446 nucleotides) under uncultured bacterium. RNAcentral's name for it is "partial 16S ribosomal RNA". It matches the Rfam family "Bacterial small subunit ribosomal RNA", at positions 330 to 793 of the family's 1533-position model. The record is from RNAcentral.